UGAGGAAUAUUGGUCAAUGGGCGCAAGCCUGAACCAGCCAUCCCGCGUGCAGGAAGACGGCACUAUGGGUUGUAAACUGCUUUUCCAGGGGGAGAAUUUUUCUGUCGUGACAGGAAUUGACGGUACGCUGGGAAUAAGCAUCGGCUAACUCCGUGCCAGCAGCGGCGGUAAUACGGAGGAUGCGAGCGUUAUCCGGAUUUAUUGGGUUUAAAGGGUGCGUAGGCGGAUUGAUAAGUCAGUGGUGAAAACCUGCAGCUUAACUGUAGACGUGCCGUUGAUACUGUCAGUCUUGAGUGUGGUCAAGGUGGGCGGAAUGUGUAAUGUAGCGGUGAGAUGCUUAGAUAUUACACAGAACACCGAUUGCGAAGGCAGCUUACUGGGCCAUUACUGACGCUGAUGCACGAAAGCGUGGGGAUCGAACAG
RNAcentral lists this ribosomal RNA (423 nucleotides) under uncultured bacterium. RNAcentral's name for it is "bacterial SSU rRNA". It matches the Rfam family "Bacterial small subunit ribosomal RNA", at positions 355 to 775 of the family's 1533-position model. The record is from RNAcentral.